Pectinophora gossypiella (pink bollworm) is the source of this 621-nucleotide long non-coding RNA. RefSeq lists it as uncharacterized. The transcript is spliced from 3 exons. NCBI's taxonomy places the organism in Eukaryota, Metazoa, Arthropoda, Insecta, Lepidoptera, Gelechiidae. The record is from RefSeq and is a predicted model, not a curated record.
GACAACCUGGUGUGACCACGAGUCCGGAGGGAAUUUCUGAUCGAUUUUCUUUAUUUCUUCUAAAAAGAUACAUGUGGUGUUGGAAACACACCUGUGAUCAGGUACCGCAGCCACAGUCACCAGGGACAACAUGUGCAUACCAGCCGUCAUGGCAGCCAGAAUGUGGAGUAUGAACUGGAAACAUUGGUACCGCCCGAAGUCUCCUGAAACACCAACAAAGUGAGAAUUUACGGGUAGUCUGCACUGCGAGCAUCAACAUCUGCACACCGAGCGUGUGCAGCGUCGUCGGCUGCGAGUACAUGGAGAUGUUCCUCAACUGUACUGCCUAAGGUUUGAACUCGCAUGUUGUAUUAUAUUUAUAAUUUCUUAACCUAACAUUAUACAAUUUAUACAUCUGUACCUUUUUAAAAUAAAAGAGUUCUGGUCAUAAGUAGGUGUUAGUUAUGAACCACCAAUCCUAACUGUACCUUUUAUGUUGCCCACAAUAAUAAGAUGCAUGACAUGGUUCGCGUUGGCGCAGACCCAGUAGAAACAAAAUACGACCUCAAUACACAAAAUUCCACGUAUAAAUAAACAGCAAUAAUUGUAAUUGUUUCACAUGUUGGCCCCAUUAAACAUUUA